GUGAGGAAUAUUGGUCAAUGGGCGAGAGCCUGAACCAGCCAAGUAGCGUGCAGGAUGCCGGCCCUAUGGGUUGUAAACUGCUUUUACACGGGGAUAAAGUGUGCGACGUGUCGUUCAUUGCAGGUACCGUGCGAAUAAGGACCGGCUAAUUCCGUGCCAGCAGCCGCGGUAAUACGGAAGGUCCGGGCGUUAUCCGGAUUUAUUGGGUUUAAAGGGAGCGUAGGCCGUCUGUUAAGCGUGUUGUGAAAUGUAGAUGCUCAACAUCUGAAUUGCAGCGCGAACUGAUAGACUUGAGUGCGCAGGAAGUAGGCGGAAUUCGUGGUGUAGCGGUGAAAUGCUUAGAUAUCACGAAGAACUCCGAUUGCGAAGGCAGCUUACUGUAGCGCCACUGACGCUGAAGCUCGAAAGUGCGGGUAUCGAACAGGAUUAGAAACCCGGGUAGUCC
RNAcentral lists this ribosomal RNA (445 nucleotides) under uncultured bacterium. Its description in RNAcentral is "partial 16S ribosomal RNA". It matches the Rfam family "Bacterial small subunit ribosomal RNA", at positions 354 to 796 of the family's 1533-position model. The record is from RNAcentral.